Molecule: small RNA, 910 nt
Filed under: Pan troglodytes (chimpanzee)
Lineage: Eukaryota; Metazoa; Chordata; Mammalia; Primates; Hominidae
Description: retained intron
Source: RNAcentral
GCGCAGCGGGCCGGCAGUGGCGGCGGAGAUGGAGGAGGGAGGCCGGGACAAGGCGCCGGUGCAGCCCCAGCAGUCUCCAGCGGCGGCCCCCGGCGGCACGGACGAGAAGCCGAGCGGCAAGGAGCGGCGGGAUGCCGGGGACAAGGACAAAGAACAGGAGCUGUCUGAAGAGGAUAAACAGCUUCAGGAUGAACUGGAGAUGCUCGUGGAACGACUAGGGGAGAAGGACACAUCCCUGUAUCGACCAGCGCUGGAGGAAUUGCGAAGGCAGAUUCGUUCUUCUACAACUUCCAUGACUUCAGUGCCCAAGCCUCUCAAAUUUCUGCGUCCACACUAUGGCAAACUGAAGGAAAUCUAUGAGAACAUGGCCCCUGGGGAGAAUAAGCGUUUUGCUGCUGACAUCAUCUCCGUUUUGGCCAUGACCAUGAGUGGGGAGCGUGAGUGCCUCAAGUAUCGGCUAGUGGGCUCCCAGGAGGAAUUGGCAUCAUGGGGUCAUGAGUAUGUCAGGUAAGAUCUUUCUUCUUGGGAAUCUGAAGGGGGCUCUGAGGCUCUGAGAUAAUUCAGAAUUCUCUUGUGGGGUACAAUCUGUCUUGGAGCAUCAGUGUAUUGAAUUUCCCAGACGCUGGAUUCCUUGACCCACAGAGAAGUGCUUCCCCUGAAGCUGUGCUCUCUUAAUCGUCUGGGACUAUCUGUAGGCAUCUGGCAGGAGAAGUGGCUAAGGAGUGGCAGGAGCUGGAUGACGCAGAGAAGGUCCAGCGGGAGCCUCUGCUCACUCUGGUGAAGGAAAUCGUCCCCUAUAACAUGGCCCACAAUGCAGAGCAUGAGGCUUGCGACCUGCUUAUGGAAAUUGAGCAGGUGGACAUGCUGGAGAAGGACAUUGAUGAAAAUGCAUAUGCAAAGGUCUGCCUUU